This 84-nucleotide transfer RNA is filed under the name Rhinella sp. 13 MP-2021. RNAcentral's name for it is "tRNA-Leu". The stretch from base 1 to 72 matches the Rfam family "tRNA". Rfam says of the family: Transfer RNA (tRNA) molecules are approximately 80 nucleotides in length. Their secondary structure includes four short double-helical elements and three loops (D, anti-codon, and T loops). The record is from RNAcentral. Lineage: Eukaryota; Metazoa; Chordata; Amphibia; Anura; Bufonidae.
UUAACGUAGCAAAACCUGGUAUUGCAAAAGAUCUAAGCCCUUUUUACAGAAGUUCAAGUCUUCUCGUUAACUUUGAAUAUUUAC